RNAcentral lists this ribosomal RNA (481 nucleotides) under uncultured bacterium. RNAcentral describes it as "partial 16S ribosomal RNA". It matches the Rfam family "Bacterial small subunit ribosomal RNA", at positions 28 to 523 of the family's 1533-position model. The record is from RNAcentral.
GACGAACGCUGGCGGCGUGCUUAACACAUGCAAGUCGAACGCUGAAGCCCUUUCGGGGGUGGAUGAGUGGCGAACGGGUGAGUAACACGUGGGUAAUCUGCCCUGCACUCUGGGAUAAGCCUUGGAAACGGGGUCUAAUACCGGAUAGGACACAUCGCCGCAUGGUGUGUGUGUGGAAAGUUCCGGCGGUGCAGGUUGAGUCCGCGGCCUAUCAGCUUGUUGGUGGGGUGAUGGCCUACCAAGGCGACGACGGGUAGCCGGCCUGAGAGGGUGACCGGCCACACUGGGACUGAGACACGGCCCAGACUCCUACGGGAGGCGGCAGUGGGGAAUCGUGCGCAAUGGGCGAAAGCCUGACGCAGCAACGCCGCGUGGGGGAUGACGGCCUUCGGGUUGUAAACCUCUUUCGACCGGGACGAAGGGUGACUGACGGUACCGGUAGAAGAAGCACCGGCUAACUACGUGCCAGCAGCCGCCGUAA